Ovis aries (sheep) is the source of this 938-nucleotide long non-coding RNA. Lineage: Eukaryota; Metazoa; Chordata; Mammalia; Artiodactyla; Bovidae. The record is from Ensembl.
AGGGAGGAGUAGGGGCUCAGGCAGCCCCGGUUUUCCGGAGCGUCCUAAUGACCCAGAUGUGCAGCUGCGGAGAUGGCUGCUCGGGGAAACUGCAAAUCCCCCGGCCCCUGGCGGCGAGGUGGGGGGAAGAACUGGAGGCAGAAAAGGAGAGACGCAGGGAGGGAGAGAAGCCUGAGCUUCUCUCACUUCUGAUGGAUGCCCCCAGAGGAACACGAGGCCCUCUCCCUAAGCGCUCAGGAUGGGGACAAUUUCCAGGGAUGCGGCAGAACAGCAGAGUCUUGCACUACCCUGCAACCUGUCCUCCCGCGGUCCAUUCUGGGAGAAGCCUCAAGGGUCUAAAGACAAGGAGACACACUCGUGGACGUCACGGAACUUGCUCAACAUGAGGAAUGAUGUCAAAACGAUGGAACAGUGACUCUGUGCCAUGCACUGUGCCAAGUCCCACAGAUAGGUCAUCUCAUUCAAACGUCAAAGCAACCCAAUGCAGAGGGAGUAUUUUAAUUUCCCUUUUAUCAAUAAUGAAAAUGUCUCAGAGAGAUGAGUAGACAGCACCCAAGUUCAGAUCCCUGGUAAGCAUCAGGGCCAGAGGUAAAACCAAGUCUCCUGAUUCUAAAACCGUUACAGCAAAGAUGAUAAACUGCCUCCAGGGAAGCAAUAAGACAGAAUCAUUAUAACAAAGCAGUGUAUGUGCAACCAGAAAGGGAGGUGAGGGCAUGAUGCGGCCCUCAGUAACCGUGGAAUCUAAAUGGGGUUUUGAGGGAUGAAUAGGAGUUCUCCAAAGGGACAAGUGGGAGAAGAGUGUUCCAGGCAGAGGGAACAUGUACAAAUGCACAGAGGUGAUAAGCUGCCUGGUGCCUUCAAAGACCAUGAGCUGGAUGCUGGAAAAUGGGGAAGGGAGGAGGUCAGAUCUAAGCCAAGCUAAGCCCCUUGGUACUUAU